Non-coding RNA from Xenopus tropicalis (tropical clawed frog), 1480 nucleotides. Lineage: Eukaryota; Metazoa; Chordata; Amphibia; Anura; Pipidae. The record is from RefSeq and is a predicted model, not a curated record.
AAGAGUGGGGAUGCCCAAGCAAAUCCCAAGCAAAAGGGGAGGGAGAUGUAAGAGACACAGUGAAACAGAAGCUUUCGCCAAAUCACAUACAACAUGCAUCCAGCUCCAUCGCUGCAGCUGCCACAUUUACAGGGAGGUUUUAUCUUUAGAGCCAGUGCUUACUAUUAGAGUAUAUGAAUCCAGGCAGGUUAGUUUUACACCUGAAGGGAUACUUACUGAAGCUGUUUUAGGUCUUAAUAGCUGACUUUAUCCAGCUCUGUAGUAAAGAGAGAUCUCUAUGGGGACUAUUGUGAAGAAGUAUAUUGAUGCAAGGCAAAAAGUGUAUUCCUUAUUAAUUAUCUGGAUGGCUGCUGAUUAGGUAGAUUCUAUAGGGACUUUGGUAUAACUUUUUUUUUGGUUGAAUCUGGACCUCGAAAACCCAAGUCUGAAACCUGGAUCCCAGUAUUGGAUAAUACCAUGGCAUUGCCUGGAUUUUGUUGCAGGAGAUGCUUGAGAUACUCUGAACACAUGCUGUGUCUUUUGCUGACACAGUGAAGCCGAGCUAAUUCUCUGUUUUUGCAUGGACAAUGAGUUGGAGAAUUCUGGCUCUGCUCAACCAACAGAAAUAUGAGGAACCCAUUGCCAUCUGAGUAUUUUGGGCUGCUAUCCACACCUUGAUGCUGUGUACGGUAAGACAAGAAAGUGGUGCCUUGGAAGUCCUGACCAAAAUGGUCAUCAUUGGUGGUGUUGAAGGUGACAAAGAAAGUCAAGAAAAGGAGAGCAAAGAAGAAAGUAUUCUAGCAAUGCUUGGGAUCAUUGGGACAAUUCUGAAUUUGAUUGUAAUCAUUUUUGUCUACAUUUAUACAACAUUAUAAGUCGGGUAUCAGGAGGGUCCCUCGCUAGAUGUGGCAGUGAGCACGUAGGGUGGCGGCCCUGCAAUGAACUGAGCCCAAGAUUAAUUAAGGCGCACUGGAUAAUGUUCUUGGAAUACUAAUAUGACUUUAACAUAUUAUUAUAAUGAUUUGUCAUGGACAGCUUGGUUUAUAAAAAGAAAAAUUUGAUGACAAUGCUAUGUUUUACUAUUCCUUUUACUAAAAAAACAUAAUGCAUUUUGCCAUUAUGGGCUAAAAUUAAGGGUGUUUCUUUCCUAUUUUUUUAAGGUCCUAUUUUUUAUUCUAUUUGUUUUGAAUUUGCAUUUUAAAAGAUCUGUAGUAUUAUAUAUUUAGCAUGAGCAAAAUCUUUGAGAUCAAUUUUUAAAUACGAGAUCUUUCUGGAAUCCAUAAUGAUGGAUGAUACAAUGACUAGAAUGUUUUUACAGUACAAAUAACUCAUAUACAACAUUUUUUUUAUGUUAUUAUGUGAACUUUCUCACUCCUAAGGAAUGUCUGGGAUACUUAUAUUUAGUUGCAGGCAACAUCAUCAAAGGUUCCAUCAGUAAGACAUGCCAAUAACCAGAAUCAGGACAGAACCCAGCAGUACAAUAAAACUGAAAAAAACCCAA